GGGUCAGUAGGUUGGUCGUGUCACCGGUACUUACUGGUCUCACUGAUUCCUCCUUCCUGAAGAACCGUAAUGCCAUUAAUUUGGUGUUGCGGGGAAACAGGACUGUUACUUUGAAAAAAUUAGAGUGUUUAAAGCAAGCUAACGCUUGAAUACAUUAGCAUGGAAUAAUGAAAUAGGACGAUCGAUCCUAUUUUGUUGGUUUCUAGGAUUGACGUA
RNAcentral lists this ribosomal RNA (216 nucleotides) under Glomeromycotina sp. Its description in RNAcentral is "partial small subunit ribosomal RNA". The stretch from base 40 to 216 matches the Rfam family "Eukaryotic small subunit ribosomal RNA", at positions 686 to 864 of the family's 1831-position model. Lineage: Eukaryota; Fungi; Glomeromycota. The record is from RNAcentral.